AUCUAGUUAGAAAUGAUGACAAGUCAUGAAGGUUAAGCUUGAUUUUAGGACUAUGAGUUUAAGUUGAGAACUUAUCUUGUAGGUCCUACAGAAGAGGAUAUUUAGGCUCUUGUUCAGCUGAGUUAUUUGUUUGGAUUUUCUCCAAAUCAGGUGAGGCUUUAUUUACGAAAUGUAUGUUUGAGCUAAUAAGCUCGGUUUUAUGUAAAGUUAAAGAUGAUGGUUCAUGCUUAAAAUGUUUUUGCUCUCUAUUGGUUACUGCUUCUACCAGAACAUUGUUGGCUCCGCCAACCAGAACAUUGUUAGCUCUGCUAACCAGAAUUGUGUACGUACACCAGAACCUGUUGUCUCGAGAGAUCGGUGACAACCAGUUGUAGAUAGCAUGCCCAAUAGAUGGCCAGGAAAAUAUGAGCUCAGAUUAUUUUAGUAUGCAUGGAAUGACUCGUCUUUAAAAACAUUCUGUGUUAUACUGUUUAAAGGCAUGAAUUAUCUUUUUCAGUAAAUGAUUUUUAAAAUGUUUUUAAAUGGCUCAACCCACUGAGUACACUAGUACUCAGCCCUGCAAUUGUUUUCAAAACCUUUUGCAGAUUGAGCAGCUAGUGGUGACGUGCGAGGCUGAGGAAGGGUUGUUGCUGUGGAUUCUGAAGAAAUACUGCGUUUACUUCUCCUAAAAUAAAUUCACUUAGUGAAUAUUAUCUGAUGCCUAAUUAUAUUAAUACUUUUAUUCAUAUUUCUAAUAUGAAUUUCAUUCUCCAUCACUUUUCUAGCGAUUGUUUUUCGCAUCUAUUAUAUGCUUAGUAUGAGACGUUGUUUUGGUCUCAGACCUUCGAACUUCCGAUCCUGAUAGGGAGAAUAAUUAUGUUAUAAUGUCGUACUUGUUUUCAUUUAAAUACGGCAUAAUGUCCAACCCUCAGGGCACAUUACCUAUUUUAUUCAAGUAAAGCUUAGUAGUCCUGUCACAUAGCCCAUUUCUUAUUCUCCCGGGAAAUCAGGGCUGUCACAAAUGGUAUCAGAGCAAAGGUUCUUGGCUCUGAGACCGCUAUUUCAUUGAUGUUGAGUCUAGAAUAACAUCUCUAGACUUCUAAGCUACACAACAACCCUCAGCUCGCCUUCACACCGCCCUCAAGAAAGAAAGGUACGCGAUUUUAACAAAUUUUACUUAAAGUGCGUACAAGUAUUUAAAGUGGUUUUAAAAGCAAUAGUUCUUGUUAAAAGAAAAUAUUUCAGUUUGUUGUAUUAUUUUACAACCAGAUUCCCAGAAAGAUGUUAUUUUGAGCUUUAGCUUGAAUAACCAGAAAGUUUGUCAUGUUUGUAUGACCAGAAAGAUUUGUCAUAUUCAUUUAUAUGACCAGAAAGUUGUCAUAUCUUUAUGACCAGUAUUUGAGCUUUGACUCGCCUCAGUUAUCAGUUCAUGCAUGUGUAAUUUUCUCGUAGUUAGAGAAAUACACUAGAUAAUAGCAUGAUAAUCUUAUGAGAUAGACUCCUAGCAUGAAGCGCUAGAAGAAUCAAGAAAAAGUUAGAGUGCUCUACAGAAAUACGUAUAACUUAGAAAGCUCGAAUAGAAAGAUAGAACGAAGCAAGAUAGAACAUAGAAAGACAUCAUACAAAGAGAUAGAACAUAGAAAGACAUCAUACAAAGAGAUAGAACAUAGAAGUUCAGAAUUUAGAAAGAUAGAUCGCAAAAGACAAAGAGAAUAGAAGAAGAAGACAUAGAAGGAUGAGCUGAAGACAAACAAAACGACGAGUGAAUUGUUCCACGCAAUCUACAAGUAUGAAAGACUCAAGACUUCACAGUAACGUGUACCAAUCACUAAAGAAAUGUGGAAGAGAACUACUGCAACUUCACCACAAGCUGACAAGAAUUUGAAGCUACGAGAAGCAGGAAUGCCCCACAAUAUAGUAGGGUUACCUGUUAUAUAUAUUCUAAACGUAAACCUUUAUUUCAUUUCGAGCCCGACGCUUUUGGAAUAUAUAUAUAUAAGUAAAUUCUUUGAAGAGCAUUAUUUUUCAUGUUCAAAAGCCCUAAUACUUUUUGGAAUAUAUAAUCCUUGGAAAGACCUUAUUUUGCUCCUUGAAGCCUUUUUUUGGAAGCAUAUGAUACAUAGGUUUCAUACCUUGAUAUGCCAAUCUUCAUUCAUAUUUUAAUAUGUGUUGUUAUUUUUUUUAGCGCAACACACCUAGUUAUUUUUGCUCAUAUACUUAUGAUAUCAAUAAGCUUUCACUAACCAAGUUGUUUCUACAGAAUGGCUGGAGAAGAAGAAAGGGUACCUAACGCUGAAGAACCUGUGCUACAAGCCGCACAACGCAGAGCGAGUGAAAGGUUCCGCAAGCACAAUCCACCCACCUUCAAUGGAAUGGGAGAUCCAAUGGAUGCAGAAAAAUGGAUACGAUCCUUAGAGCGAAUCUUCGACUUCAUGGGUCUUACUGACAAAGAGCGUUUGACAUGUGCUAUCUUUCAACUAACAGACGAGGCUGACUAUUGGUGGGAGUCGGUGCAGAGGACGUUANNNNNNNNNNNNNNNNNNNNNNNNNNNNNUUAUUAUUAUUAUUAUUAUUAUUAUUAUUAUUAUUAUUAUUAUUAUUAUUAUUAUUAUUAUUAUUAUUAUUAUUAUUAUUAUUAUUAUUAUUAUUAUUAUUAUUAUUAUUAUUAUUAUUUUAUUUUUUCAAUGUCAAAAUAGAAGACACAUUGUCCUACUGUUAUUAAAUAUUGUGUUGAAGAUUGUUGGGUCCCGGAGGGCAAUUGAACUGGCGUAUGGGGGGGGAAUAUACCAGUAGACUAUUUUUUAGAAAAUCUUCUUUAGAACUGAAAGAGUAUCAACUGAUACCGAAAUGUUUGGAUUGAAAGACAACAGUCAAGGACUGUUUCAUUUAAAAUAGGGGUGUAGACUGAUACUGGAAUGACUUCAGUAUUUUGAUUUCAGUCAAGCACAAAGCUUUGACUGAUAAUCCACGUAAGGUUUCAAUCUAUAAUUUGAAAUCAGAUAAGUGUUAUGAAUCUUACUGAUUAUCCAAGGAUUUGUCAGUUAGACUAAUAACACUAGCAGCAGAAAUUAAACUUAAGAAAUAACCUUUGUGAUUAACACUUUGUCAGAUCAAUUUCAGUUAAGUAAAGAGUUUGUGCACAACAAUGAAAGUAAAUACUGAAAGCGAUAAGCAACACGAGAUUUUUAAAACCUUAAAUUGAAACAAGGUUUCAGUACCAAUUCUCGGAUUGGACUUCUCAUCUUCUUCUCAGGUCAUAGUUGCAAUGACUACACUCGCCUUGCUUGCGGGGGCUAAGAUCUCUUGAGUUCAGACAACAGUCUAGAACUCUCUCUCUCAAACUCUAUUUUUCCUCUUUUGAAAAGGGGUUCGAAAUACCAACAGGAUUACAGAGAAUAUGCUCUCUGUAAUCAAAGACUUAGGCUAGGGAUUUUAUAAUGUAAUUGCCUAAGGAUGUAAGAGAAUUUUGGUAAUCAGUAAACUGAUUUGAACAUGGAAUAUUAUCUUCUUCAAUUCAAACUUUGGAUAGCAAUAAAAUGGCUGAGUCGCAAAUUUGACAGAGGUUCAGNNNNNNNNNNCUCGAGCUCUAUAUUGUAAUACCCCAAGUUUUCCUCAAUAUGAUUUUAGAAGAAUGAUUGGGUUUAGAAUUAAGUCGAUUCGCACCCCGGAGAAAAUUUGUUUUAAUUCAGAUAAAUGGUUUGUUAAAAUUUUAAGGCAAAUUUGUCAAUGGGCCUUAUUUGAUUAUGAUGUGGGAUCAUUNUUUUUUUAGUGGGCCGAGUUGUUAUUUGGAGGCCCAAACCCAUUGCUAUUAUAGAUAUUUUCAUUAAGGAUUUAUGGAAGGGGGUUAAUCCACGUUGCCAAUUUCCUUCUACAAACUCACUCGAGCUCUGCACCGAGGAUCAGCAGUAGAGCUCUUCUCUUCCUCAAUCAUCCAUCAUAUUCUUAUCUAAUCAUCCACAUACAACAACCCACAAAAAUCAACCAUCAUCAAGAAAUCGAAAGUCUAUUCCCAACCACAGUUCAUUAUAUUCUUUUUGCCACUCAAUCACAUCUCUUUGAUGAAGAACUCUAUUCUAUAGCAAAAUCCUUGAGAAAAGGUUUGAUCUUACACCAUCUAUUCAUGACUUAUAUACUGUUUUCACUACUUCACAAAGAAGCUAUCUUUUUCAUGCUUUUGUUGGCGUGUGUGUGUAUGUGUGCUGCUGUGUGCGUGAGUUCUUAGAGCUGUCGUCGUCGUUGUGGCGAGACGGGCAGGUCGGGAUCGAGAGAGAACAGGGGAGGAUCGGCGGCGGCAGCGGCCUGAUGCUUCUGCUUGCGACUGCCGUAAAUGGAGAGAGAGAAAGGGGAGACGGCUGGACGGUGGGGCUGUUCAGCGGUGGGACCGGCGGCGGCGGUGGAGGCGGCUUGUGACUCCUACUGUCCGUCGGUCAAGAGAGAAAGAGAUGGGUGGUGCUGCUAUCGUUCGGAGAGGAGUCAGCAGAGCUGCUGCUGCUGUUGACGGCGGUGGUCCGGUUGGCUGUGGCUGCCGUUCGAAGAAUCAGAGGAGGAGAGAGGCGGCGAUGGCGGCGGUCCGGCUGACUGCUGCUGUCGGUUGGAGUAGAGGGGUCAAGUCCGGCGGUAACCUCGCCGGAAAUCGAAGAGGAGAGAGAAGCUAGGGAUUUUUGGGGGUUCGGUGAAUUGAGGGAGGAGGGAGAAAGACAGAGAAAGAUGAGGGCGGCGGUGGUACGCCGGCGUCGCGCCGGCGAAUUUGUAGGCGGCGGCGGCGACGUGAGAUGAGAGGAAGGGAGAGAGAAAGUGGCGAGAAGGAGAGAGAGACCGAAUGGGAGAGUGAGAGUGAGGUCUUGUGUCUGUGUGUGUGCGUGAGAAAAAGGAGAAGAAAGGAGAGGUUGAUGAGUUGAGUUGGGCUGGGUAUUUUUUUUUAGUUGGGCUUAUAGUUGGGCCGUUUUUUUUUUAUUAAGUGAGCUGCAUUGUUUUUAAUUUGGGCCUUUAAUUAUUUUGGGCUGCAUGUUUAUUUGUUUGGUUACAUGUUUUUAUUAAAAAGUUAAAGUCUUACAAAUGUUUGUAAGCAAAAUAUUUUUAAUUUGAUUUUAUGCUCAAGAUGAGUUUUUAAGAAAAGUCGAGCAAGGGUAUUAUUGAAACUCUUAGCCAAGAAAAAUGAUUUUUAAGUUUUAUGUUGAAUUUUUGGAAACCCGGGUGUUGCGAAUCUAGUUAGAAAAUGAUGACAAGUCAUGAAGGUUAAGCUUGAUUUUAGGACUAUGAGUUUAAGUUGAGGACUUAUUUUGUAGGUCCUACAGAAGAGGAUAUUUAAGCUCUUGUUCAGCUGAGUAAUUUGUUUGGAUUUCUCCAAAUCAGGUGAGGCUUUAUUUACGAAAUGUAUGUUUGAGCUAAUAAGCUCGGUUUUAUGAAAUGUUAAAGUUGAUGGUUCAUGCUUAAAAUGUUUUUGCUCUCUAUUGGUUAUUGCUUCUACCAGAAUAUUGUUGGCUCUGCCAACCAGAACAUUGUUAGCUCUGCUAACCAGAAUUGUGUACGUACACCAGAACCUGUUGUUUCGAGAGAUCGAUGACAACCAGUUGUAGAUAGCAUGCCCAAUAGAUGACCAGGAAAAUAUGAGCUCAGAUUAUUUUAGUAUGCAUGGAAUGACUCACUUUAAAAACAUUCUGUGUUAUACUGUUUAAGGCAUGAAUUAUCUUUUUCAGUAAAUGAUAUUUAAAAUGUUUUUAAAUGGCUCAACCCACUGAGUACACUAGUACUCAGCCCUGCAAUUGUUUUCAAAACCUUUUGCAGAUUGAGCAGCUGGUGGUGACGUGCGAAGCUGAGGAAAGGUUGUUGCUGUAAUAUUGAAGAACACUCUGUUUUACUUCCGCUGAAAUAAAUUCACUUAGUGAAUAUUAUCUGAUGCCUAACUAUAUUAAUACUUUUAUUCAUAUUUAUAAUAUGAAUUUCAUUCUCCAUCACUUUUCUAGCGAUUGUUUUCCCGCAUCUAUUAUAUGCUUUGUAUGAGACGUUGUCUUGGUCUCAGACCUUCGAACUUCCGAUCCUGAUAGGGAGAAUAAUUAUGUUAUAAUGUCGUACUUGCUCUCAUUUAAAUACGGCAUAAUGCCAACCCUCAGGGCGCAUUACAUAUUUUAUUCAAGUAAAGCUUAGUAAUCCUGUCACAUAGCCCAUUUCUUUUUCUCCCGGGAAAUCGGGGCAGUCACAUAUAUAUAGGCGAAGUCUUGAAUAAAUCCGUUGCCAAGAUGGUCUUCAAGAAUUCGGCCGUUGUGAAAUAGAUUUGAAUUAUGGGCUGAGGCUUCAAUCUUCGAGGCUCCUGAUUUGCAGAGAAAGGGGCGUCUCAAGAUGCAGGAGUAUGAUACUUCUGAAAAUGUUGCACAAAAUAGGAAAGCUCUGCAGAGGAAGGACGAUCUUCAUAUCUUUGCAUUUAAUGCUGCUGUACUUGGUGUGUACGUGACUACCUUUUAACUUAAGGUUCAGUCCGAUGAAGAAUGUCAACUGAUACUUGACUUAAGUAUCAGUCCGUUAUUUGCACGUGGCCAACAUUAGUUAUUCAGUCAUAACUGAAUCUUCAGUGAAGUCUUCGUCCAUUAAAUACUCUAGUAUUUGUCUCCAGCCUUUUCAGUUACGAUCUUCAGUCAAGCGGUAUUCAGUCCUUCGAUCUUCAGUCCGCCGGUCUUCAGUCUAGCUAGUUAACUGAACCUAACACUUGAGUUCAAAAAGUUCUAAUCUAGAAAGAGAAAAUCUAAGAGUUAUGGUAUCAUCAAAACUAGGGCAUGAAUAUUUCAUUAAUUUCCCAACAAACAUAGAAAUGAAAUUGAUUUUAAUGAUGUUAUAAUUAAUUUUCACCAUUUUUUACAUAUAUAGUUACAAUAAGUGUAUAUCUCAUUAUAAUACUUUUUUUAAUCAAAAAAGAGAUAUCUCAUUAUAAUACUAAUGUACUCCCUCCCUCUGUCCCAACCAAGAUGAUACAUUUAUUUUCGGCACGGGAUUUUAGGAGUUGUAGAUUAGUGUUUUAAGUGUAUAGUAUAAAAAUGAUAAAGUAGAAGAGAGAAGGUAAUAAAGUGAUAAAGUAUGAGAGAGAAUGUAAUAAGGGAGCGAUUAAUUAGUUGUAAUUCUGCAAUUAAAAUCCCUUAUUUUUUUCCAUAUUUAGAAAUGUAGCAUCUUCGUUGGGACGAUCCAAAAAGGAAUAUAUAGCAUCUUCGUUGGGACAGAGGGAGUAUUAUUUAGUACUUGAUCAUUAUAUUCUUACUUAUUAUGAUUUUUUAUAAUAAUGAUUUAAUAUAGAUUAUGAUUUAGUUAUUUAUUUUUUAAUAAUUGUUGAAAGUCUUGAUGAAAUUCGAUUUGAUUUUAGUUUAUUUAAAAUUCACAAAUGUUUUAAAAAGAAAAAAAAUAUGGAUCAUGGUCUGGACCCGAGACCCUGUGGAUUUUAUGGAUCUGGACCUAGAUCUUAUCUUUUUAGAUUCAACGGAUCUGGACCGGAUCCGGACCAAAGUAAGACAAUACGGAUCUGGAUCUAGACCAAGUAGGAUCCGGUCCAGAUCCGACCCAUUGUCAUCCCUACACGUGGACCCCUUUUUCAACUGAUUAACUUAAUUAACUUUUUUCACUUUUAUUCAUUUGUGGACUCAUUUCUCCACUAAGUAAAUAAACAACACAAAAUUUUUAAAACCUGUGCCACCCUCCAUUAGAGCAUCUUUUCAUGGACGAAGAGAGCAUUUAUGAAAUUUUAAAGUUUUGAAAAGUAUUUGACAAAAUGAGAUUUUUAAACUACUUAUAGACUAUAAAAAAUAAGUUUUAAUAACUUAUAAGCUUCAUACAAACCCAACCUUAAUUUUUCACAAUCUUAUAAGCAAUGAAUAAUUUACAAAAAUAAAACUACUAUGGAAUUUCAAAUAUGUCUAACACUUUAAAUUCGAUCAGAUUACUACAAUUUUUCGUAGGACCGUGAGACCAUUGCACUGAACAUAUAAAAUCAUUGGAUUAAUUGUGAAAUUAACUUCACUCGAAAAUAAAAUGGAAUUUUCAUCUCCCAUAUGAAUUUGAAUUGAACUCAGAU
This 8029-nucleotide long non-coding RNA is filed under the name Salvia miltiorrhiza (redroot sage). RNAcentral's name for it is "long non-coding RNA (SMIL_LNC005746)". Lineage: Eukaryota; Viridiplantae; Streptophyta; Magnoliopsida; Lamiales; Lamiaceae. The record is from RNAcentral.